CACGUAGUUAGCCGGAGCUUAUUCAACAGGUACCGUCAUUUUUUUCUUUCCUGUUAAAAGCAGUUUACAAUCCGAAAACCUUCUUCCUGCACGCGGCGUCACUGCGUCAGAGUUUCCUCCAUUGCGCAAUAUUCCCGACUGCUGCCUCCCGUAGGAGUCUGGGCCGUAUCUCAGUCCCAAUGUGGCCGUUCAACCCCUCAGUCCGGCUACUGAUCAUCGUCUUGGUAGGCCGUUACCCCACCAACUAACUAAUCAGACGCAAGCCCAUCUAUUAACGGAUUACUCCUUUCCUGCUUGUAUCAUGCGAUACUCACAGCAUAUGCGGUAUUAGCAACGAUUUCUCGCUGUUAUUCCCCUCUAAUAGGCAGGUUGCUUACGUGUUACUCACCAGUCCGCCACUAACCGCUUUAAGAGCAAGCUCUCAAUUAAGUUCGUUCGACUUGCAUGUCUUAUGUGCGCCGCCAGCGUUUUAUCCUGAGCCAGGAUCAAACUCU
Molecule: ribosomal RNA, 494 nt
Filed under: uncultured bacterium
Lineage: Bacteria
Description: partial 16S ribosomal RNA
Source: RNAcentral